CUGGCGGCGUGCUUAACACAUGCAAGUCGAACGGGGCGAUAGAAAGCUUGCUUUUUAAAGCCUAGUGGCAAACGGGUGAGUAACGCGUGGGCAACCUGCCGGAAAGAUGGGGACAACAUCCCGAAAGGGGUGCUAAUACCGAAUGUUGUACGAGAGGCGCAUGCUUCUUGUACUAAAGGAAUCAAUCCGCUUUCCGAUGGGCCCGCGUCCGAUUAGCUAGUUGGUGAGAUAGAGGCCCACCAAGGCGACGAUCGGUAGCCGGCCUGAGAGGGUGAACGGCCACAUUGGGACUGAGACACGGCCCAGACUCC
Molecule: ribosomal RNA, 311 nt
Filed under: uncultured Lachnospiraceae bacterium
Lineage: Bacteria; Bacillati; Bacillota; Clostridia; Lachnospirales; Lachnospiraceae
Description: bacterial SSU rRNA
Rfam family: Bacterial small subunit ribosomal RNA
Source: RNAcentral